UUAUCAAUAUCCAAUUCCAGUCAAUUAAUUGCAAGCAUCAUAUAGUAAUAGAAAUGCGUUCAUUUAUUACGAGGCAAUGUUAACAAUAACAGUUGCAUUUUACACAUAAUAUUCAUAUUUGUAAAAACAAAUAAAUCAAGUCACAUUAUCACGAUAUCUUUCGCCUACCAUUUAGUCAUAGGGAUUUUUUUAAAUAUAGGUGAUGCAGAUCAUUAAAUUUCUUGCAGUGAAACACAAAAUGAUAUUCAUCCUCUAAAUUGGCAGGACGAGCAACUUGGAAAAAAUGGCAAGAUGACAAUUUCUGUAAAACGUUAGAAUAAACUAAUAAAAGUAGGCAGGACCAAAUAGAGCAAAAAACACAAAAAGCAGGACAGAGAUUACAACUAAAAAAAAUGCAGGACAAAAUUUUUCAUCUUAUCCCUCCCCUAAGAAAUUCAAAUGGUAGCGCCCUUAUUUUCGAAUGCAUAUACAGUUGCUCCUUUGGAAUACAAUAAGUUGCUCGAUAAGUUAUCCUUUGUUUCUACUAUAAAAGUCUUAUUACUUCAGUACCUGUACUAUGUAUGAGGUGCAAUUUGUGAUUAACAAGUGCUAACACGUUUAAUUCAUAUAUAACCGUAGGCUGCAUUAAGCUACUUGUAACAUGUAGAGGACUAAAACACAUACAAUAGACAAUGUAAAAAACGAGUUGAGCGAAAUGGAUUACUAGAGGUAAAAUGUUUAAUGUGAGUAAUACUGAGAUUUGCACGAAUUGUUGAAUUUUCAACGAUUGAAUUUCUUUCAUGUAACCCCAAAACGACAAUUUUGAAUAAGUCAAUGAUAAAAGAAGCAAGUGUCCAUUUUAUUAAAAAAAAUGUUAAGUACAAUUUCUUCAUGUUGUGUGGAAAAAAAACUUUUUUGCAAGCAGACGACUAGAGAUUCAGACGGUAGAUACUAUAACACGUCUGCCGUAAACAGCGUGUAACCAGAUGCCCCACAUGGUGCAGCUUUAUACGACCGCAGAGGUCGAACCCUGAACGGUUGGGGCAAGAAUGGACACAACAUUCAAGCUGGAUUCAGCUCUGAAUUUGAAUUGUGAUUAAAUAGUUGACACAGCAUAGGUUUCUGACACAGAAUGAAUGUGGUCUAAUGAAGUUAAAACAUUUUUUUUUCUUUUGAGCAAUUCACUUUGCUGUUGAAUA
Molecule: long non-coding RNA, 1178 nt
Filed under: Mytilus galloprovincialis (Mediterranean mussel)
Lineage: Eukaryota; Metazoa; Mollusca; Bivalvia; Mytilida; Mytilidae
Source: RNAcentral